CGCUCUUUGGUAAAAUAAAGAGUCUUACCUGCCCACUGAAGUUAAUAUAAAGGGCCGCGGUAUUUUGACCGUGCAAAGGUAGCAUAAUCAUUAGUCUUCUAAUUAAAGGCUGGAAUGAAUGGUUGGACGAGGUAUUAGCUGUCUCAUUAAAAUUGCCCAUAAAUUAACUUUUUAGUCAAAAGGCUGAAAUAAAGUUAGAGGACGAGAAGACCCUAUAGAACUUGAUGUUGGAUUUAUUUUAUUUAUUUGGGCGGUUUAUAGUUUUAUAAAAUAAGCAUUUUGUUGGGGUGACAGGAAGAUAUAAUAAACUCUUCUUAAAUAAAACCAUUUAUAUAUGAUUUACAUGAUCCAUUAUUAUGAUUACAAGACUAAGUUACCUUAGGGAUAACAGCGUAAUCUUUUUUGAGAGUUCUAAUCGACAAAAAGGGUUGCGACCUCGAUGUUGGACUAAGGGUUAUUCUUGGGUGUAGAAGUUCAAGGUUUAGGUCUGUUCGACCUUUGAAUCCUUACAUGAU
RNAcentral lists this ribosomal RNA (515 nucleotides) under Arthroplea bipunctata. RNAcentral describes it as "partial 16S ribosomal RNA". It matches the Rfam family "Bacterial large subunit ribosomal RNA", at positions 1829 to 2604 of the family's 2925-position model. The record is from RNAcentral. Lineage: Eukaryota; Metazoa; Arthropoda; Insecta; Ephemeroptera; Arthropleidae.